Molecule: long non-coding RNA, 998 nt
Organism: Medicago truncatula (barrel medic)
Lineage: Eukaryota; Viridiplantae; Streptophyta; Magnoliopsida; Fabales; Fabaceae
Exons: 4
Source: RefSeq, a predicted model, not a curated record
UUUUGCGACAUUUGCUUUGCGACCCUUGGCUUAGAACUGUCACAAAUCACACUUUUGCGACUGUUUGGAUUAAGGGUCGCAGCUUUUAUACUUUUUUUUCAAGCGCUUUUCACAAUAAAUAUUUUGGCCAAAUAUUCUAUCACUCCCGCUUUCCCGAUUUCAGUCUCCCUCCCAUUGCUCAAAAACCCUAAAACCCAAUUUUAUUCCACAAUCUAACUUUCCCCCAAAUUAAAACCUAAAUCUCUACUACCUAUGGCUCAAUUGAAGCAUUCCCCAUAUUUCAUUUUCCAAUUUCAUUUGCUCUUCCCCAAUUUCACUCUCACCCACAACCUCAGCCAGCAUUGAUAAUCAAAGCAGAGCUAAGCUGUGAAAUCAACCAUGUUUAGUUCUUUAUCAUCUUCUCAACCAGAAGCUACAAAGCUGUUAGAUGGGGACGGGCUUGAUUGGAAAAGAAAAGAAAAGAAAAGAGAACAAGCUGAAAACGCCAGCAAUGGAGUAUAUGUUAAGAAGCAAAGUGCUGGCGAGUUGCGUCUCCACAAAGCCUGUGUUUUUGACAGGCUAUAAUAAAUGCAGUCAGUUGAAUUUGACUUAGGUUUUGAAGAGAGUUAAUGAGUUCGAUUCACUAACUUCGAAUUCUUGGACUUAAAGAGAUUUGAUGUUUUUAUGGUGAUGGUUUGACAAGCAAGCAAGCGUCGAAGAGAGGUUGGUGCUAGAUAAAGGAGCCAAGCAACGGUUACUGUCGAAGGAUGUCAAUUGAAAUUCAAAUCAAAGGGAUGUAUGUGGUAGUUUUUAGCAGUUAAGUUCGAUCGGUUCUGUGUAGGUAGUUACUUAGUAUAAAUAGUAGCUUUUCAUAGGAAAAAUGGGUCACAAUUCAAUCAUACAGAAAACUUACACUCAAACUAUCCGCAUUCAGAGAGAAACGAGUAACAAGUCACAAUGUAUUGAAUCUGUGUACCAAUUUACAUUCAGUCUAUGCAAUUUACUUUUAUUUCUUUAAA